This 65-nucleotide transfer RNA is filed under the name Charybdis japonica (shore swimming crab). RNAcentral's name for it is "tRNA-Leu". The record is from RNAcentral. Lineage: Eukaryota; Metazoa; Arthropoda; Malacostraca; Decapoda; Portunidae.
UCUAAAAUGGCAGAUAGAUGUAUAGGAUUUAAGCUCCUACUAGGAAGGCUUCUCUUCUUUUAGAA